GCUGCCGGCCUGCGGGGGUCCCGGUGUCUCCGGCCGCGACCCCCCGCCCCGGGCGCUUUGCCUGCUGCAGAGGGGGCCGGGCCCGGGAUGCGGGGCUGGGACAGGGGCAGAGCUCCAGGGGUGCCCUAAGAGCCGGGAAGUUUUGCCUCUUCCAAAAUAACGGCCUCGCGGGGGGAAGUUGGUUUUUCUUUUGUUCGUUCCGCGCAUUUCGGUGUCUCCGAUCACGGCUCUCGUGCGGUGGCUUGUGCUGUUCUUCCAGCACCUCUGGAAACGCGGUUAUGAAAUGACUUCAACGGGAAGCGCCCGCCGGAGAGUCCCUGCUUUUGUUCCUGGAUUUUCCUUGCUCUCCUCUGGCAGGUGAACACCUGCGAAGGGCUGGGCGGUGGGGACCGGGCGAGGACAAUGCCUGCAUUUUCCCAGGGUUUGGAUCUGAGCUGACAAAAAUGCACGGCUGGCCCUUCAUCCAGCCUGAAUGCUGGAUACUGUGUCACAAAAUCUGGGGAAGGCUGGUGUUAACCCGGAGAGCCCUGAGAGCCAUGCCGUGCUCUCAGAAAUGGUUCGAAUCCCUCAUGUUUGGUGUGUUAGGAGGAUAUACAGCGUGUAUCUCCAGGGAAUCCAGGCUCCCCACUCAAUGUCGGUACACCGCAUCCUCAUCAGGUUAAUUGGCCUUUUGCCUCAUUAAAAGCAAGGUACUUUGUCAAGUUAUACUUAGCUCUGUAAUGACCAUAUGUGUACUGCUCUGUGGUGGUUGUUGUUGUGUUAUUAACUGGGUGUUUCUGGGGCAGAUACUCUGCCAUUCGGGACUGCUGAUCCCACAUUGUGAAAGGUAGACCUGCCUCUUUUUUUAGUUGUCCAAAAGAUAAAUUUAGAAGCUUGCGUUUCCUGGGAGAAAGGUGGAACCUUGCACAUCAUAAAAUGUUGUUGAGGAAAAUGGGCUAAGACUGCGUGCGAGAAAACUAAUUUGGGAGGCACUAAUUUCAUGUGCAUCUGUAUGUGGGCCAUCGUGGACAGAGAGGAGUUAGCGAAAGAGCUGUGGUACAGACAAGAGGAAAGUAAAUGGGGGAAUUUCUCAGGACUGUGGUCUCAUUGUCGGGGGAAAACGCAGCAAAAGGUACGUGGCUUUUAUUAUUACUUAAAUUGUUUUUUUAUCAAAAAGGAUUCUGAACUUGUGCAUCUCUGAGCAGCAGGGUUUGACUUUAAGGGGAACGGAGGCUGCUCCGUGGCAUCCUGGCUCAGGCCCAAAGCGUUAAUGUGUGGGCUGAUGUAACAACAAGUUAAGAGUUGUCAUUCUGUCGUGACACCUUCUUGGAGCUGAUGCUUUUGUUUCUGUGUGGCUCUGAUGGGUUGAUUCGGCUCCCUGGCUGAGGGACGCUGCAGGUUAGUGGGAGCCUUGUCUCAGCAGAGCUCGAUGGCAGAUUCCAAAGGAAAAAUAAAAUCUGGUGGUUGGGAACUGUCAGAGCUGUGGUUUGGUUUGGUGAUGAAGAUGAAAUGGGAGCCUCAGCUUGCUGAACUGGUGGUUCUCUGAGCACCUCACGCUCUUGGUUCAGCCAGGAGGUUACUUCUGAAGGUGACUUUCCUGGCAGGAUUUUCUGAUUUGUAGCACCUGAACUGCUGGAAAGGUGUGUGAACUGGGAAACCAGGCCACAGUUUGCCUUCAAGCUCUGUGGUUUGUGCUGGGAGGGAAAAUCUGAAGGGGUGCAGGGGUAUUUCCCAUUCUUGCUGCUGAUGAGGGCGGUGAGAACUCCAGAGCUGGCAGGGGGUGAAUGUCCAGGCACAAGCUGCACUCUGAGGGACAGCUGGGCUGCAGCUGUGAGGGAUGUUACCGAGCUGGGGGACAGAUGCUGGGGUUGCUUCUGAGCAGGAAGGGAGGAUCUUGUGGCUGUGCUCACUCCAAUCCCCCCACUCCCAAAGAUGGAGGCCUCACAGGACCAUCUUCUCCCUGCUCUGGCUCUGUGCCUGGGUCUGUUUUCCAGUGAUUCAUCCCCUUCUCACCGGCUAAGAUGCCGUGUGUCUCCUGCUCUUGCUGCUUGCCGAGGUCCGGGAUGCGAUGCAGGAUUAGACCUGUGAUGGGAGCAUCCAUGUCUCGCUCCAAGGAGCCGUCUCUGCUGCUUGCACAGCUCGCUCAGAGGAGUGAAAGCGAGUGCUGAGACUCUGCAUGGGACCCAGACCCUCUCUGAGCAGAGCCAGGAGGACUGAGCUCCUUAAUUUUGGAUGGUCUCAUGUCUCCUUUGUGCCUACACACACAGAUCAAGGAGGAGGAAAUAGGUGCAAGACACAGUGCUGGCUCUCACUGGUGAAGGAGCUGGUGGCAUUAUCCCCACUGGAACAACUCCUGAUCUGAGUCCAGAACGGGGGUUGUGGUCCUCAUCCUCCUGGUCUUUAGGGGUAGCUCGUGUCAGCAUCUGCUUCCCACUCUGUAUGAGUCCCCUCUUUCUGUGUGAAGGAUUUAUGUGCAGGUAUUUUGUACACAGAAGAAUGGGGAUUUAACCUGUCCAGGCUCUGAUUCCUGCUUUCACAGAGGAACAAAUGUCUUCCUGCCUCCAUAUGCAGCGAGUUGCAAAGUAGCUUUAAUUAGAGCCUGUACGUCUCCUGAAGCACCUCACCGAAAACGCUGCUGAGCUCCAGGACGAGGUCUGCGACUCGCCUGCAGGAUUAGCUAGCUUAGCUGGGGCAGGUAAUCUGGUGGUGGCAGAUCCCUGGGAGGAUUUGCAGGCAGAGGACCUGUUGUUGUAGAUGGCACUUUUUGCAGAUGGGGUAUUUAUUUUUUUUCCAGUCCGAAGGUGUCUUGGUCCCAGUGGGAAUCAGGAGUGUGCUGGGGCUGUGGCGUUUGCCUCUGUGGCCACAUAAUGCUGGGAGCUGUUUAUCCUGGAGCGAGGUUGCUUAGAGCUGGCCUGUGAGAGGAGGAGGGAGGCCGGAUUUUGAAGUGCCCGCUGGAAAAUACAGCCCUCUGGAUUACAGUGUAGGUGUUGCUGCCUGAAAUAGCACUGGCAACUUUGGACCAGCAGCUCAUGCAAAAAUAUCCCUCUUCACUAUCCUGCAGAUCAUUGGACUCACUGCAAGGCAGGCAGGCACAGGGGAGGGGUGUGGGUGGGCUCCAGCUGCUGGUGAUGGUACUCUGCCUUCAUCCCAGGACAGCUGUGGAGCACGGAGCAGUAAAGCUGGAUUUUCUCACACACCACCUUGCUAAUUAGAGCUGUCUGAAACUAUUUCUCACCACCUUCAGAAAAUCACACUUCCUUGGAUUUGCAGAAGAGCAAAAACUUGCUUCCUUCUUGCCUUGAGUUCCUGCAGGUGGGGAAUGGUCACUGUGCUGCAGACAGCUUUGACCCCUCGCAAGGGUGGCGCAUUUCUGGGUGCUCUCUCAAAUCCCCUCAUACAGGAUUCGGUCUGGAGUGGACCUGGGGUGGCUGGGUCCUUGUGGCCAGGUCAGCUCCUUGUCUCCUAAACCAGCCAUCCAGCAACUGGCAACUGGAACUUUGCUCGGCCGAAGCUGCAGGUCCAAGUGACUCCAGUGGUGCCCGACACAACGGAGUUUUCCCCUCCCAGGCAUGUGCCAUGUGUGGAGCAAAGCCUGGCUAGUUUCUCAGUUCCCCUUUCAGAAACGUUUGACUAAAUAAAGCAUCUCCCCAAGGA
This is a long non-coding RNA of Corvus hawaiiensis (hawaiian crow), 3633 nucleotides long. RefSeq lists it as uncharacterized. NCBI's taxonomy places the organism in Eukaryota, Metazoa, Chordata, Aves, Passeriformes, Corvidae. The record is from RefSeq and is a predicted model, not a curated record. The transcript has 2 exons.